AUUGAACGCUGGCGGCAGGCCUAACACAUGCAAGUCGAGCGGAAGAAGGGAGAUGGCUCCUGGUUUCAGGAGGGGAGGGGGGAGUAAUGCCUAGGUAUCUGCCAGUGCGUGGGGGAGAGCGUCAGGAAACGGGAGCUAAUACUACAAACGCCUAGAGGCAGAAAGGGGGAGAGCUGGGGACCUCAGGCUCUUGCCAGAGCAUAGGUGGGAUUAGCUAGUUGGUGGGGUAAGGGCCUACCUAGGCGACGAUCCGUAGCUGGUCUGAGAGGAUGAUCAGUCACACUGGAACUGAGACACGGUCCAGACUCCUACGGGAGGCAGCAGUGGGGAAUAUUGGACAAUGGGCGAAAGCCUGAUCCAGCCAUGCCGCGUGUAUGAAGAAGGCCUUCGGGUUGUAAAGCACUUUAAGUGGGGAGGAAGGGCAGUAAGUUAAUACCUUGCUUUUUUGACGUUACCCACAGAAUAAGCACCGGCUAACUUCGUG
RNAcentral lists this ribosomal RNA (484 nucleotides) under uncultured bacterium. RNAcentral's name for it is "partial 16S ribosomal RNA". It matches the Rfam family "Bacterial small subunit ribosomal RNA", at positions 29 to 507 of the family's 1533-position model. The record is from RNAcentral.